RNAcentral lists this ribosomal RNA (464 nucleotides) under uncultured bacterium. Its description in RNAcentral is "bacterial SSU rRNA". It matches the Rfam family "Bacterial small subunit ribosomal RNA", at positions 337 to 794 of the family's 1533-position model. The record is from RNAcentral.
CCCUACGGGAGGCAGCAGUCGAGGAUUUUUCUCAAUGGGGGAAACCCUGAAGGAGCGACGCCGCGUGGGGGAUGAAGGUCUUCGGAUUGUAAACCCCUGUCAUCUGGGAACAAAGCGCUCCACCUAACACGUGGAUUGUUGAUAGUACCGGAAGAGGAAGCCGUGGCUAACUCUGUGCCAGCAGCCGCGGUAAUACAGAGACGGCAAGCGUUGUUCGGAUUCAUUGGGCGUAAAGGGUGCGCAGGCGGCUCGUUAAGUCGGAUGUGAAAUCUCAUAGCUUAACUAUGAUAGGUCAUUCGAAACUAGCGGGCUCGAGGACUGGAGAGGAGACUGGAAUGGUCGGUGUAGCGGUGAAAUGCGUAGAGAUCGACCAGAACACCGGUGGCGAAGGCGGGUCUCUGGACAGUUCCUGACGCUCAGGCACGAAAGCCAGGGGAGCAAACGGGAUUAGAUACCCUGGUAGC